This 76-nucleotide transfer RNA is filed under the name Chloroflexota bacterium. RNAcentral's name for it is "Chloroflexi bacterium (groundwater metagenome) tRNA-Ala". It matches the Rfam family "tRNA". From Rfam's summary of the family: Transfer RNA (tRNA) molecules are approximately 80 nucleotides in length. Their secondary structure includes four short double-helical elements and three loops (D, anti-codon, and T loops). The record is from RNAcentral. Lineage: Bacteria; Bacillati; Chloroflexota.
GGGGCUGUAGCUCAACUGGGAGAGCGCUGCGUUCGCAUCGCAGAGGUCACGGGUUCGAGUCCCGUCAGCUCCACCA